This 22-nucleotide microRNA is filed under the name Human alphaherpesvirus 1 (Herpes simplex virus type 1). Its description in RNAcentral is "hsv1-miR-H4-5p". Its record names the gene hsv1-miR-H4-5p. The record is from miRBase by way of RNAcentral. Lineage: Duplodnaviria; Heunggongvirae; Peploviricota; Herviviricetes; Herpesvirales; Orthoherpesviridae.
GGUAGAGUUUGACAGGCAAGCA